RNAcentral lists this ribosomal RNA (258 nucleotides) under uncultured prokaryote. RNAcentral describes it as "partial 16S ribosomal RNA". It matches the Rfam family "Bacterial small subunit ribosomal RNA", at positions 524 to 780 of the family's 1533-position model. The record is from RNAcentral.
UACGUAGGGUGCGAGCGCUGUCCGGAAUUACUGGGCGUAAAGAGCUCGUAGGUGGUUUGUCACGUCGUCUGUGAAAUUCCGGGGCUUAACCUCGGGCGUGCAGGCGAUACGGGCAAUACUUGAGUGCUGUAGGGGAGACUGGAAUUCCUGGUGUAGCGGUGAAAUGCGCAGAUAUCAGGAGGAACACCAAUGGCGAAGGCAGGUCUCUGGGCAGUUACUGACGCUGAGGAGCGAAAGCAUGGGUAGCGAACAGGAUUA